RNAcentral lists this ribosomal RNA (382 nucleotides) under uncultured bacterium. RNAcentral's name for it is "bacterial SSU rRNA". It matches the Rfam family "Bacterial small subunit ribosomal RNA", at positions 399 to 794 of the family's 1533-position model. The record is from RNAcentral.
GCGUGGGGGAAGAAGGCUCUUGGGUUGUAAACUCCUUUUCUCUGGGAAGAACAAAAUGACGGUACCAGAGGAAUCAGCAUCGGCUAACUCCGUGCCAGCAGCCGCGGUAAGACGGAGGAUGCAAGCGUUAUCCGGAAUGAUUGGGCGUAAAGCGUCCGCAGGUGGCAGUUCAAGUCUGCUGUCAAAGACCGGGGCUUAACCUCGGAAAGGCAGUGGAAACUGAACAGCUAGAGUAUGGUAGGGGCAAAGGGAAUUCCUGGUGUAGCGGUGAAAUGCGUAGAGAUCAGGAAGAACAUCGGUGGCGAAGGCGCUUUGCUGGACCAUAACUGACACUCAGGGACGAAAGCUAGGGGAGCGAAUGGGAUUAGAUACCCCCUGUAGU